UCUUCACUAGUUUUUACACCUCCAAGCUCCAAACCACCAAACACGCAACAAACAGAGAACUAAGAGAAGAGAAGUUGCUUCUGUAGCAACUGAAAGAUGAAAAUGGAGGAGCACCAAGAAAGCAGCAAGAAGAGAGCCCGCAAAAGAAAAACGAGAAAACCAAUAACCGCUUCCGCUUCCGCUUCCGCUUCUCUCCCUUAACAGCACUACCACCAUAUUCCCUCUCUUACUAGCUGCAACAACGCAACCCUCCAACACUCAAAACAACACACCCAGUAAUAAUUUCGAAAUCUUAAUCAAUAAACUCUUAACCAAAUUACACCACUCUCUCCUUUCAAACAACUAAAAAUUUCCCAUUUCAGUCCUCUCUUUCUUUCCUAUCCUCAUGAAUUCCAAGUGUGCAGCAAUUGCGUGUCGAAGUGCGGAUAUUGUUGGGUUGGCUUCGCUGGUGUCAAUGGAAAUGAAUGAACUGGUUUCUUUGGAUGUGGGGACCGUGAAAGGUUUGAUCUUGAUGUUAGUGAUUAGAAAAAGGAAACUUUCAGUGGCUGCUUGUGAUGCCCUUCUGGAUUUGUCCACUACUUUGAUUGGAAGACAAAGGUUCCUGCAUCUUCGAUAUUGGUUUCUUUAUAUAAUGAAGAUGGGAGUAGUAUUGCCUGUGCCAGGAUAGCUUUUAAAGAAGAUAGACAUUCAGUGUCACUUCUUCACACUUCUAUUACUUUAAUUAAUACUUGCAACAUUGAGCAAUUGGAAAAGAUCCCAUCGAAGCUGUCUGAAAAAUUCUUGGAUUUUAUGAAAAGUUUGUGGGAAAAAGUGCACAAUCAGAUGUUACUUGGCAAUGCUUGGAUGUCCUUUCAAGAGAGGGAUUUAAAUUUGAGCAAUGUUACAGUUAACAAUCUGGCAGAAAGUAUUUUUAGCUUUUCUAUUAAUACCAGUGAAUUUGUGAUUCCUUUGCCAUCUGUGUUAGUUGAAAGAAAGAUCUUUGAUGGAAGUGAGCAAAGUUUUGAAAAUUUCAUGUUACAUCACUGGGAACCUCUCCUUCUCAUGUAAGAAGGCUUUCAGGGUCCUUAAUUGAGGAAGAUGACAUUUUUAGUUCAAUUGCACAAUCUCUAAACUGAAAGAAGCAUCUCCUACCUUUGUUUCAUCUGUGCUUCAAAGUUUUGUUUCAUGUGUACCUAUUGCUUCAGAUGAACUGAACAUCUUAAGUUUCCUGGAGGAGGUGAGAAGUGAAUUGGGUUGUCCUAUAAUCAACCAGCAGGACAUAUGAGUACUAAGAACAGAGCACCCUUCAAAGAAAGAGGUGCAUUUCUUUCAAAAGAAAUUUGAUCCAUCCUGCUUUAGGAAACAUGCUUUCAAUGCUAUGGAUAUUAUGAAAUGUGAAGAAGCAUUUAAAGAGGGCUAUACAAUAGCUCUGAGUUUUGGCUUACAAGUAUUGCAGCUCUUGCAAAUGCUUACAAGUAUAUACUUGACACCACCUAAUUCUCAGGGAUGGGAUCGUCACUGUGAUGACCACUGUGUGUUUGUAUGCCAACUCUUUGGAACCAAGCAAUGGACAAUCUAUUAACAACCAAAUUUGCAGUUACCUCGCUUGUAUGAUCCUCUUGAUAGAGAACAAUGUUUUGUGGAAGAAAACUCUUUGGCUGGAUAUAGAAAGUUCCUGUUGAGGGAAGGUGACAUUUUGUAUAUUCCAAGAGGCUUUCCUCGCGAGGCAUGUACACAUGACCGUGGGUCUAGUGAUUUAGCCAGAUUUUCCUUACGUCACAUUUGGUAUUGAGGUGGAACCUCCUUUUGACAGGAUGGCAUUAAUCCCUUGCACCUCUCCCCUAGAAGACAGAUACACGUAUGACCAUUCAAUGAACUACUGAUUUUAUCGGUUGAUAAUAUCCAAGUGUAUCCUCACCUACAUGACCCCAGCAGUUACCUUUGACUGACAAUAUCUGCCAAGGGCCAUUGAUCCGUUGGAGCUAGGUGGGAGGGCUUUGCACAUGUUGCACUCCAUUGCUGGUAUCAGACCCAAAAACAGCUGCAUCGUGCUUCAGUUGAGCCAUUGUCUGGAAUUCUGGAUCUGAUGCCCGUGACUCUGUUGCAUGUAAUGAUUGAAUUAAUUGGGGCUUCUGAUUCUACCUUGCGGGAAGCUUCCUUAGUUGGUGCUCAUUUUUUCCUUUGGAAGCCAAUGAUUGGCUUAAUUUGGACCAGAAAACCACAUUCAACAAUAUUAUUGAUCAAAUUAAUAAGGCAUCGAGGUUCUUGGAAGUAUUCAGUAGUGUGGAAGUAGCUAUUGAAACGAACAAGGAUCCUUUUCAUCGGAUGAGGUGGCUCAGGCUUCUCUAUUAGGAGACAGAAACCAUUCAAGAACAUGAUUGGAAUUUAGCUUUCUACGAAUUUCAAAAUUUAUUUCCUUCAUGUGCUCAAGUUAAAUCUAAGUUCUGUGAUGAAGUGUUAUUUGAGGAUGUGAUUGAUAGCUACUAACUACUACUCGAGAAGUACAAGAAAGCCAUAUAUGAAUGGAAUGCGCUCGCUACUUUGUAAUGUA
Populus nigra (black poplar) is the source of this 2530-nucleotide RNA transcript. RefSeq lists it as uncharacterized. NCBI's taxonomy places the organism in Eukaryota, Viridiplantae, Streptophyta, Magnoliopsida, Malpighiales, Salicaceae. The record is from RefSeq and is a predicted model, not a curated record. The transcript has 5 exons.